RNAcentral lists this transfer RNA (72 nucleotides) under Dipodomys ordii (Ord's kangaroo rat). It matches the Rfam family "tRNA". Rfam says of the family: Transfer RNA (tRNA) molecules are approximately 80 nucleotides in length. Lineage: Eukaryota; Metazoa; Chordata; Mammalia; Rodentia; Heteromyidae. The record is from Rfam by way of RNAcentral.
AGAGAUGUGACUCAGCAGCAGAGUACCUGCCUAUCAAGCAUGUGUCUCUGAGUUUAAACCUCAAAAUCACCA